Molecule: long non-coding RNA, 258 nt
Organism: Mastomys coucha (southern multimammate mouse)
Lineage: Eukaryota; Metazoa; Chordata; Mammalia; Rodentia; Muridae
Exons: 2
Source: RefSeq, a predicted model, not a curated record
UCCAGACGAAAAGGAGUGCCAGAUUUGAGUAUUUCAGAUGCCAUUGACAAGGGAAAGGCUCACUGGUAAAUCAAGGACACCUCAGAAGAACCAUCCCCAUUGGAGGGCACCACAGGAACUGGCUGAAGGCUCUAUUGCAACAGUACUACAGUAUCUUUUCUCCCAGUGUACAACCGGAGUCUGACCUCCCUCCCCCACCCAGCGCCCAUUAAAAGUGUCAUUCCUAACCUCACGCCCAAUAAACAAGCUCCACACAAA